GAGUUUGAUCCUGGCUCAGGACGAACGCUGGCGGCGUGCUUAACACAUGCAAGUCGAACGAUGAACCCGGAGCUUGCUCUGGGGGAUUAGUGGCGAACGGGUGAGUAACACGUGAGUAACCUGCCCUGGACUCUGGGAUAAGCGUUGGAAACGACGUCUAAUACCGGAUAGGACCCUGGACCGCAUGGUUUGGGGUGGAAAGUUUUUUCGGUCUGGGAUGGACUCGCGGCCUAUCAGCUUGUUGGUGAGGUAAUGGCUCACCAAGGCGUCGACGGGUAGCCGGCCUGAGAGGGUGACCGGCCACACUGGGACUGAGACACGGCCCAGACUCCUACGGGAGGCAGCAGUGGGGAAUAUUGCACAAUGGGCGAAAGCCUGAUGCAGCAACGCCGCGUGCGGGAUGACGGCCUUCGGGUUGUAAACCGCUUUUAGUAAGGAAGAAGGGGAGCUUGCUCCUUGACGGUACUUGCAGAAAAAGGACCGGC
This 485-nucleotide ribosomal RNA is filed under the name actinobacterium dtb36. RNAcentral describes it as "bacterial SSU rRNA". It matches the Rfam family "Bacterial small subunit ribosomal RNA", at positions 9 to 497 of the family's 1533-position model. The record is from RNAcentral. Lineage: Bacteria; Bacillati; Actinomycetota; Actinomycetes.